AGCAGCCGCGGUAAUACAGAGGGUGCGAGCGUUAAUCGGAUUUACUGGGCGUAAAGCGUGCGUAGGCGGCUUCUUAAGUCGGAUGUGAAAUCCCUGAGCUUAACUUAGGAAUUGCAUUCGAUACUGGGAAGCUAGAGUAUGGGAGAGGAUGGUAGAAUUCCAGGUGUAGCGGUGAAAUGCGUAGAGAUCUGGAGGAAUACCGAUGGCGAAGGCAGCCAUCUGGCCUAAUACUGACGCUGAGGUACGAAAGCAUGGGGAGCAAACAGGAUUAGAUACCCGUGUAGUCCCUGUCUCUUAUACA
This 301-nucleotide ribosomal RNA is filed under the name uncultured bacterium. RNAcentral's name for it is "partial 16S ribosomal RNA". It matches the Rfam family "Bacterial small subunit ribosomal RNA", at positions 510 to 808 of the family's 1533-position model. The record is from RNAcentral.